RNAcentral lists this ribosomal RNA (2793 nucleotides) under Qipengyuania mesophila. Its description in RNAcentral is "Qipengyuania sp. YG27 23S ribosomal RNA". It matches the Rfam family "Bacterial large subunit ribosomal RNA". Lineage: Bacteria; Pseudomonadati; Pseudomonadota; Alphaproteobacteria; Sphingomonadales; Erythrobacteraceae. The record is from RNAcentral.
CAAGCGUGAGGUAAGAGCAUUUGGUGGAUGCCUUGGCAUGUGCAGGCGAUGAAGGACGUGGCACGCUGCGAUAAGCGUCGGGGAGUUGUGAGCAAACUUUGAUCCGGCGAUUUCCGAAUGGGGAAACCCACCCUCACCAUUUCCUUUCGGUUGUCCUUUGGGGCGAUCGGAAAGAGGUGGAUAGGGUAUCACCAGACUGAAUAUAUAGGUUUGGUGAAGCGAACCCGGGGAACUGAAACAUCUCAGUACCCGGAGGAAAAGACAUCAACAGAGAUUCCCGUAGUAGUGGCGAGCGAACCGGGACCAGGCCAGUGCCUUCAUUUCAACUAGCAAAACACUUUGGAAAGAGUGGCCAUAGUGGGUGACAGCCCCGUAUGCGAAAGUGAUGAUGAAGGACUCGAGUAGGGCGGGACACGUGAAAUCCUGUCUGAACAUGGGGGGACCACCCUCCAAGCCUAAAUACUCGCACAUGACCGAUAGCGAACACAGUACCGUGAGGGAAAGGUGAAAAGCACCCCGAUUAGGGGAGUGAAACAGUACCUGAAACCGGAUGCUUACAAGCAGUUGGAGCCCCAUAGGGGGUGACAGCGUACCUCUUGCAUAAUGGGUCAGUGACUUAAUUUAUCGAGCAAGCUUAAGCCGUUAGGUGUAGGCGCAGCGAAAGCGAGUCUGAAUAGGGCGACUGAGUUCGAUGAAUUAGACCCGAACCCCGGCGAUCUAGGCAUGGCCAGGUUGAAGGUGCGGUAACACGCACUGGAGGACCGAACCGGUGAAUGUUGAAAAAUUCUCGGAUGAGCUGUGUUUAGGGGUGAAAGGCCAAUCAAGCCGGGAAAUAGCUGGUUCUCCGCGAAAUCUAUUGAGGUAGAGCGUCGGAUGUAUGCCGAUGGGGGUAGAGCACUGGAUGGGCUAGGGCUGCGCGAGCGGUACCAAACCUAACCAAACUCCGAAUACCAUCGAGUCUUAUCCGGCAGACAGACGGCGGGUGCUAAGGUCCGUCGUCAAAAGGGAAACAGCCCUAACCUACAGCUAAGGUCCCCAAGUCAUAUCUAAGUGGGAAAGCAUGUGGGAAUCCCAAAACAACCAGGAGGUUGGCUUAGAAGCAGCCAUCCUUUAAAGAAAGCGUAACAGCUCACUGGUCUAAAUAAGGGUUCCUGCGGCGAAGAUGUAACGGGGCUAAAGAUAUGCACCGAAGCUUAGGGUUCAGAAUUUAUUCUGAGCGGUAGCGGAGCGUUCCGUAAGCGAGUGAAGGCGAAGGGUAACCGACGCUGGACGUAUCGGAAGUGCGAAUGCUGACAUGAGUAGCGACAAAGAGGGUGAGAUGCCCUCUCGCCGAAAGACCAAGGGUUCCUGCGCAACGCUAAUCGGCGCAGGGUUAGCCGGCCCCUAAGACGAGCCCGAAGGGGGUAGUCGAUGGGAACCACGUAAAUAUUCGUGGGCCUGAAGAUGUGUGACGGAUCGUGGAAGUUGUUUUCUCUUAUUGGAUUGAGAGGGCAGCCAAGCGGUUCCAGGAAAUAGCCUCUUCACUAUAGACCGUACCCGAAACCGACACAGGUGGUCAGGUAGAGUAUACCAAGGCGCUUGAGAGAAGUAUCCUGAAGGAACUCGGCAAAUUGCCUCCGUACCUUCGGAAGAAGGAGGCCCCAUCUUAACGCAAGUUUUGGUGGGGGGCACAGGCCAGGGGGUAGCGACUGUUUAGCAAAAACACAGCACUCUGCUAAGUCGGCUUCAAGACGACGUAUAGGGUGUGACGCCUGCCCGGUGCUCGAAGGUUAAGAGGAGGAGUGCAAGCUCCGAAUUGAAGCCCGAGUAAACGGCGGCCGUAACUAUAACGGUCCUAAGGUAGCGAAAUUCCUUGUCGGGUAAGUUCCGACCUGCACGAAUGGCGUAACGACUUCCCCACUGUCUCCAGGAUAUGCUCAGCGAAAUUGAAUUCUCCGUGAAGAUGCGGAGUACCCGCGGUUAGACGGAAAGACCCCGUGCACCUUUACUGCAGCUUCAGAGUGGCAUUAGGAAAUUACUGUGUAGCAUAGGUGGGAGGCUUUGAAGCGACGGCGCCAGCUGUCGUGGAGCCAUAGGUGAAAUACCACCCUGUGAUUUUCUGAUGUCUAACCACGCACCGUUAGCCGGUGUUGGGACCCUCUGUGGCGGGUAGUUUGACUGGGGCGGUCGCCUCCUAAAGAGUAACGGAGGCGCGCGAUGGUAGGCUCAGGACGGUUGGAAACCGUCUGCAAGAGUGCAAUGGCAUAAGCCUGCCUGACUGCGAGACUGACGAGUCGAGCAGAGACGAAAGUCGGUCAUAGUGAUCCGGUGGUCCCUCGUGGAAGGGCCAUCGCUCAACGGAUAAAAGGUACGCCGGGGAUAACAGGCUGAUGAUUCCCAAGAGCUCAUAUCGACGGAAUCGUUUGGCACCUCGAUGUCGGCUCAUCACAUCCUGGGGCUGGAGCAGGUCCCAAGGGUUUGGCUGUUCGCCAAUUAAAGUGGUACGUGAGCUGGGUUCAGAACGUCGCGAGACAGUUUGGUCCCUAUCUGCCGUGGGCGUCGAUUGUUGAAAGGAGUUGCCCCUAGUACGAGAGGACCGGGGUGAACGUACCUCUGGUGUACCUGUCAUCCUGCCAAGGGUGCCGCAGGGUAGCUAUGUACGGACGGGAUAACCGCUGAAAGCAUCUAAGCGGGAAGCCUCCCUUGAGAUAAGCAAUCUUCGAACCGUCAUAGACCAUGACGUUGAUAGGCCGGGUGUGGAAGCGCAGUAAUGCGUGGAGCUAACCGGUCCUAAUAGUUCUUUUCGCGCUUGUA